UACGAAGGGGGCUAGCGUUGUUCGGAAUUACUGGGCGUAAAGCGCGCGCAGGCGGUUCUUCAAGUCAGUGGUGAAAGCCCGGAGCUCAACUCCGGAAUUGCCAUUGAAACUGUAGAACUUGAGUACGAGAGAGGUGAGUGGAAUUCCCAGUGUAGAGGUGAAAUUCGUAGAUAUUGGGAAGAACACCGGUGGCGAAGGCGGCUCACUGGCUCGUAACUGACGCUAAGGCGCGAUAGCGUGGGGAUCAAACAGG
This 253-nucleotide ribosomal RNA is filed under the name uncultured bacterium. Its description in RNAcentral is "partial 16S ribosomal RNA". It matches the Rfam family "Bacterial small subunit ribosomal RNA", at positions 524 to 776 of the family's 1533-position model. The record is from RNAcentral.